GCGAAAGUGGCGGAAUUGGUAGACGCACCAGAUUUAGGUUCUGGCGGGUAACUCCGUGAGGGUUCGAGUCCCUCCUUUCGCA
This 82-nucleotide transfer RNA is filed under the name Frateuria aurantia DSM 6220. It matches the Rfam family "tRNA". Rfam says of the family: Transfer RNA (tRNA) molecules are approximately 80 nucleotides in length. Their secondary structure includes four short double-helical elements and three loops (D, anti-codon, and T loops). Lineage: Bacteria; Pseudomonadati; Pseudomonadota; Gammaproteobacteria; Lysobacterales; Rhodanobacteraceae. The record is from Rfam by way of RNAcentral.